AGAUUGAACGCUGGCGGCAUGCCUUACACAUGCAAGUCGAACGGCAGCACGGGAGCAAUCCUGGUGGCGAGUGGCGAACGGGUGAGUAAUACAUCGGAACGUGCCCAGUAAUGGGGGAUAGCCCGGCGAAAGCCGGAUUAAUACCGCAUCCGACCUACGGGUGAAAGCGGGGGAUUCGCAAGAACCUCGCGUUAUUGGAGCGGCCGAUGUCAGAUUAGGUAGUUGGUGGGGUAAAGGCCUACCAAGCCUGCGAUCUGUAGUUGGUCUGAGAGGACGACCAGCCACACUGGGACUGAGACACGGCCCAGACUCCUACGGGAGCAGCAGUGGGGAAUUUGGACAAGUGGGCGACAAGCC
Molecule: ribosomal RNA, 357 nt
Filed under: uncultured soil bacterium
Lineage: Bacteria
Description: bacterial SSU rRNA
Rfam family: Bacterial small subunit ribosomal RNA
Source: RNAcentral